CUCGCUGACGAGCGGCGGACGGGUGAGUAAUACUUAGGAAUCUACCUAGUAGUGGGGGAUAGCUCGGGGAAACUCGAAUUAAUACCGCAUACGACCUACGGGAGAAAGGGGGCAACUUGUUGCUCUCGCUAUUAGAUGAGCCUAAGUCGGAUUAGCUAGAUGGUGGGGUAAAGGCCUACCAUGGCGACGAUCUGUAGCUGGUCUGAGAGGAUGAUCAGCCACACCGGGACUGAGACACGGCCCGGACUCC
This 250-nucleotide ribosomal RNA is filed under the name uncultured Psychrobacter sp. Its description in RNAcentral is "partial 16S ribosomal RNA". It matches the Rfam family "Bacterial small subunit ribosomal RNA", at positions 84 to 339 of the family's 1533-position model. Lineage: Bacteria; Pseudomonadati; Pseudomonadota; Gammaproteobacteria; Moraxellales; Moraxellaceae. The record is from RNAcentral.